Long non-coding RNA from Thalassophryne amazonica, 433 nucleotides. RefSeq lists it as uncharacterized. The transcript has 4 exons. Lineage: Eukaryota; Metazoa; Chordata; Actinopteri; Batrachoidiformes; Batrachoididae. The record is from RefSeq and is a predicted model, not a curated record.
UGUGGAGCAGUGUAACCAAAACCGGGGAAUGCCAGGACAGUGCCAGGUGGCCGCUCGCGGGGCUGAGAAGUGACUGAGGAACAGAGGAAACAGAGUGGUAAGUGACGUGCACUUGUAAUCUCAGGCUGAGCAAAUACGAGGCAAAAAGCAGUUCCAAAAAAGGUAGAUUAUUGUCUGUACUGUACAAAAGAAGGAAGGCAAGAGACAGGCAGGAACCAGGGCAGCCCACAACAGGUCAGGUGGGCAGGCAGAGGUCACACACAAAGCUGAGGUCCAAAAGAGAAUGAUGGCUGGAGAUCUUCACAAGAGCACAAGACAAUCUAGCACUGGGGUGGAAAAAGAGAGGAGACAGAGUUUACUGUGCACUAUAUACCGUCGUGUUAAAUACAAAAUCUAAACACGUGGGCAGAAAUUACUGCACACUAAAUAUCAU